This 306-nucleotide ribosomal RNA is filed under the name Capitulum mitella. RNAcentral's name for it is "partial 12S ribosomal RNA". Lineage: Eukaryota; Metazoa; Arthropoda; Thecostraca; Pollicipedomorpha; Pollicipedidae. The record is from RNAcentral.
AUUGGAUUUGGCGGCAAAAUAGACCUUUUAGAGGAACCUGCCCUGUAAACGAUGAUCCACGAGAUACUUAACUUCUGUUAGUAAUCAGUUUGUAUACCGUUGUUGUUAGUAAGACUUUUUAAGGUACUUACAAUAAUGAGAAUUCCAUUGACUUCAAAUAAAGGUGCAGCUUAUGCAGAAGAGAGAGGUGGGUUACAUUUAAUAGAAUAAAACGGAUGGCAAAACGAAAUAUUGCUUGAAGGUGGAUUUAAAAGUAAAGUCUUGAGGACUUGAUGAGAGCACUGUUUUGUGUACACACCGCCCGUC